Molecule: non-coding RNA, 737 nt
Filed under: Aspergillus carbonarius ITEM 5010
Lineage: Eukaryota; Fungi; Ascomycota; Eurotiomycetes; Eurotiales; Aspergillaceae
Description: Eukaryotic large subunit ribosomal RNA
Rfam family: Eukaryotic large subunit ribosomal RNA
Source: Rfam by way of RNAcentral
UGACCUCGGAUCAGGUAGGGAUACCCGCUGAACUUAAGCAUAUCAAUAAGCGGAGGAAAAGAAACCAACCGGGAUUGCCUCAGUAACGGCGAGUGAAGCGGCAAGAGCUCAAAUUUGAAAGCUGGCUCCUUCGGAGUCCGCAUUGUAAUUUGCAGAGGAUGCUUUGGGUGCGGCCCCCGUCUAAGUGCCCUGGAACGGGCCGUCAGAGAGGGUGAGAAUCCCGUCUUGGGCGGGGUGUCCGUGCCCGUGUAAAGCUCCUUCGACGAGUCGAGUUGUUUGGGAAUGCAGCUCUAAAUGGGUGGUAAAUUUCAUCUAAAGCUAAAUACUGGCCGGAGACCGAUAGCGCACAAGUAGAGUGAUCGAAAGAUGAAAAGCACUUUGAAAAGAGAGUUAAACAGCACGUGAAAUUGUUGAAAGGGAAGCGCUUGCAACCAGACUCGCCCGCGGGGUUCAGCCGGCAUUCGUGCCGGUGUACUUCCCCGUGGGCGGGCCAGCGUCGGUUUGGGCGGCCGGUCAAAGGCCCCUGGAAUGUAGUGCCCUCCGGGGCACCUUAUAGCCAGGGGUGCAAUGCGGCCAGCCUAGACCGAGGAACGCGCUUCGGCUCGGACGCUGGCAUAAUGGUUGUAAACGACCCGUCUUGAAACACGGACCAAGGGAGUCUAACAUCUACGCGAGUGUUCGGGUGUCAAACCCGUGCGCGCAGUGAAAGCGAACGGAGUGGGAGCCCCCUCGUGGGG